CAUAAUAAUCCUACUCUCUCAAAAAUAUUUUGAUCACCCAAAAGGGCCAAAAGCCAAAGUACCCGGACAACAACAGAGCAUAAAAACGCCAAAAAUCUAAAAACCUAGUUUAGUAAUAGAUCUUCAGGACAAAAACGCAAAGCCCACAGAGUCAUUUUUGGGAAAAGCAGAUACCAUAAAAGAAUUGCCUUUCAAUCAAAAUCCGAAGAAAUUAAUUCAGCUUGUGAAAGGCUUUAGUUUGUGGAGAAGAAAAACUGAACCCAGAAGAUCAAAUUAAGCAUAGGGGCUAUAUCAUUAGAAAAAAAUGAUAGAAACUGGAGUAAAAAGAGCACCAAAUGAACAGACCUCGGUAGACUUUGUUGAGAUGUGAAGCCCUAGUUUGUUCCUCCAUGAGUCGGAGAUUGAAAGGUGUGAAAUGGAAGACUUUGCUUUGCCUUGGCUUUAGAAUUCACACAACCCAUAUUCCAUAAGAAUACAAAGCUCUCUUCUUUAAUAUUAUUUAUUCAUUUAUUUUCCCCUUUUCUUCUCAAGAGAAG
Molecule: unclassified non-coding RNA, 536 nt
Filed under: Hevea brasiliensis (rubber tree)
Lineage: Eukaryota; Viridiplantae; Streptophyta; Magnoliopsida; Malpighiales; Euphorbiaceae
Source: RNAcentral